RNAcentral lists this ribosomal RNA (345 nucleotides) under uncultured bacterium. RNAcentral describes it as "bacterial SSU rRNA". It matches the Rfam family "Bacterial small subunit ribosomal RNA", at positions 8 to 350 of the family's 1533-position model. The record is from RNAcentral.
AGAGUUUGAUCAUGGCUCAGGAUGAACGCUAGCUACAGGCUUAACACAUGCAAGUCGAGGGGCAGCAUGUUGGUUGCUUGCAACCAAUGAUGGCGACCGGCGCACGGGUGAGUAACGCGUAUCCAACCUACCCUUGUCCAUCGGAUAACCCGUCGAAAGGCGGCCUAACACGAUAUGCGGUUCACAGCAGGCAUCUAGGGUGAACGAAAUGUGAAGGAGAAGGAUGGGGAUGCGUCUGAUUAGCUUGUUGGCGGGUAACGGCCACAAGGCUACGAUCAGUAGGGGUUCUGAGAGGAAGGUCCCCCACAUUGGAACUGAGACACGGUCCAAACUCCGACGGAGGCA